UUUCCGUAGGUGAACCUGCGGAAGGAUCAUUAAAAAUGAAGCCGGGAAACCGGUCCUUCUCACCCUUGAUUAUCUCAAUUUGUUGCUUUGGUGGGCCGCGCAAGCACCGGCUUCGGCUGGAUCGUGCCCGCCAGAGGACCACAACUCUGUAUUAUAUGUCGUCUGAGUACUAUAAAAUGGUUAAAACUUUCAACAACGGAUCACUUGGUUCUG
This 213-nucleotide unclassified non-coding RNA is filed under the name plant metagenome. Its description in RNAcentral is "partial contains small subunit ribosomal RNA, internal transcribed spacer 1, and 5.8S ribosomal RNA". The record is from RNAcentral.